AACGAACGCUGGCGGCAUGCCUAACACAUGCAAGUCGAACGAGACCUUCGGGUCUAGUGGCGCACGGGUGCGUAACGCGUGGGAACCUGCCCUUAGGUUCGGAAUAACUCCCCGAAUGGGGUGCUAUCACCGGAUAAUGUCUUCGAACCAAGGAUUUAACGCCCUUGGAUGGUCCCGCGUUGAAUUAGCUAGUUGGUAGGGUAAAAGCCUACCAAGGAGACGAUCCAUAGCUGGCCCGAGAGGAUGAUCAGCCACACUGGGACUGAGACACGGCCCAGACUCCUACGGGAGGCAGGAGUGGGGGAUAUUGGACAAUGGGCGAAGGCCUGAUCCAGCAAUGCCGCGUGAGUGAUGAAGGCCUUGGGGUUGUAAAGCUCUUUUACCCGGGAUGAUAAUGACAGUACCGGGAGAAUAAGCGCCGGCUAACUCCGUG
Molecule: ribosomal RNA, 433 nt
Filed under: uncultured bacterium
Lineage: Bacteria
Description: partial 16S ribosomal RNA
Rfam family: Bacterial small subunit ribosomal RNA
Source: RNAcentral